GGGUCCGUCCACUCUAAGCUCGAACACCAAGCCUAGAGCCUGUAUCGUUUGGUGUUCUACCUUACAGUGAGCGGACUC
This 78-nucleotide microRNA precursor is filed under the name Zootermopsis nevadensis. RNAcentral's name for it is "mir-971 microRNA precursor family". It matches the Rfam family "mir-971 microRNA precursor family". The record is from Rfam by way of RNAcentral. Lineage: Eukaryota; Metazoa; Arthropoda; Insecta; Blattodea; Termopsidae.